This is a small nuclear RNA of Nycticebus coucang (slow loris), 106 nucleotides long. Lineage: Eukaryota; Metazoa; Chordata; Mammalia; Primates; Lorisidae. The record is from RefSeq and is a predicted model, not a curated record.
GUGCUGGCUUCGGCAGCAUGUAUUAUAGAAUUGGAACGAUACAGGGAAGAUUAGCGUGGUCCCAUGCAAGGACGGCACUCAAGAAUGAGGACAGAGGACAGGUGUG